This 1398-nucleotide ribosomal RNA is filed under the name uncultured bacterium. RNAcentral's name for it is "16S ribosomal RNA". It matches the Rfam family "Bacterial small subunit ribosomal RNA". The record is from RNAcentral.
UUAGAGUUUGAUCCUGGCUCAGGAUGAACGCUAGCGGCAGGCUUAACACAUGCAAGUCGAGGGGCAGCGAGAUCAGUGCUUGCACUGAUUGUCGGCGACCGGCGCACGGGUGCGUAACGCGUAUGCAACCUACCCAUUACAGGGGGAUAACACUGAGAAAUCGGUACUAAUACCCCAUAACAUCCAGGGAGGCAUCUUCUUGGGUUGAAAACUCCGGUGGUAAUGGAUGGGCAUGCGUUGUAUUAGUUAGUUGGUGGGGUAACGGCUCACCAAGACAACGAUACAUAGGGGGACUGAGAGGUUAACCCCCCACAUUGGUACUGAGACACGGACCAAACUCCUACGGGAGGCAGCAGUGAGGAAUAUUGGUCAAUGGACGCAAGUCUGAACCAGCCAUGCCGCGUGCAGGAAGACGGCUCUAUGAGUUGUAAACUGCUUUUGUACGAGGGUAAACGCAGAUACGCGUAUCUGUCUGAAAGUAUCGUACGAAUAAGGAUCGGCUAACUCCGUGCCAGCAGCCGCGGUAAUACGGAGGAUUCAAGCGUUAUCCGGAUUUAUUGGGUUUAAAGGGUGCGUAGGCGGUCGGAUAAGUUAGAGGUGAAAUCCCGGGGCUCAACUUCGGAAUUGCCUCUGAUACUGUUCGGCUAGAGAGUAGUUGCGGUAGGCGGAAUGUAUGGUGUAGCGGUGAAAUGCUUAGAGAUCAUACAGAACACCGAUUGCGAAGGCAGCUUACCAAGCUACUUCUGACGUUGAGGCACGAAAGCGUGGGGAGCAAACAGGAUUAGAUACCCUGGUAGUCCACGCAGUAAACGAUGAUAACUCGUUGUCGGCGAUACAGUGUCGGUGACUAAGCGAAAGCGAUAAGUUAUCCACCUGGGGAGUACGUUCGCAAGAAUGAAACUCAAAGGAAUUGACGGGGGCCCGCACAAGCGGAGGAACAUGUGGUUUAAUUCGAUGAUACGCGAGGAACCUUACCCGGGCUUGAAAGUUAGUGACGGAUCUUGAAAGAGGUCUUCCCUUCGGGGCACGAAACUAGGUGCUGCAUGGUUGUCGUCAGCUCGUGCCGUGAGGUGUCGGGUUAAGUCCCAUAACGAGCGCAACCCCUACCGUUAGUUGCCAGCAGGUCAAGCUGGGCACUCUGACGGGACUGCCGGUGUAAGCCGAGAGGAAGGUGGGGAUGACGUCAAAUCAGCACGGCCCUUACGUCCGGGGCUACACACGUGUUACAAUGGCAGGUACAGAGGGCAGCUACCCAGCGAUGGGAUGCGAAUCUCGAAAGCCUGUCUCAGUUCGGAUUGGAGGCUGAAACCCGCCUCCAUGAAGUUGGAUUCGCUAGUAAUCGCGCAUCAGCCAUGGCGCGGUGAAUACGUUCCCGGGCCUUGCACGCACCGCCCGUCA